This 237-nucleotide long non-coding RNA is filed under the name Bos taurus (domestic cattle). RNAcentral describes it as "long non-coding RNA NONBTAT026822". Lineage: Eukaryota; Metazoa; Chordata; Mammalia; Artiodactyla; Bovidae. The record is from RNAcentral.
ACUUAAAGAACAAACACAAACCCCAAUUUCCUCACCAUCUUCCAUCAUCAGAUGCUUUCCAUUAAAUGUUAAACAAUAACUUGACCAAAAAAGGUCUAGAUAAUUAGUAAAAAUCUCUCUGCCUAUGUCUCAUCUCAGUAACCAUAACAAGAGUAUCUUUGUGACAAUUCUCAAACCUGAAAAGAUCUUUUCUCAAAUGUUGGAAAGAAUUUUCUGUGAAACUCCUUGACAAAAUUC